GAUGAACGCUAGCUACAGGCUUAACACAUGCAAGUCGAGGGGCAGCAUGGUCUUAGCUUGCUAAGGCCGAUGGCGACCGGCGCACGGGUGAGUAACACGUAUCCAACCUGCCGUCUACUCUUGGACAGCCUUCUGAAAGGAAGAUUAAUACAAGAUGGCAUCAUGAGUCCGCAUGUUCACAUGAUUAAAGGUAUUCCGGUAGACGAUGGGGAUGCGUUCCAUUAGAUAGUAGGCGGGGUAACGGCCCACCUAGUCUUCGAUGGAUAGGGGUUCUGAGAGGAAGGUCCCCCACAUUGGAACUGAGACACGGUCCAAACUCCUACUGGAGGAAGCAGUGAGGAAUAUUGGUAAAUGGGCGAGAGCCUGAACCAGCCAAGUAGCGUGAAGGAUGACUGCCCUAUGGGUUGUAAACUUCUUUUAUAAAGGAAUAAAGUCGGGUAUGGAUACCCGUUUGCAUGUACUUUAUGAAUAAGGAUCGGCUAACUCCGUG
This 490-nucleotide ribosomal RNA is filed under the name uncultured bacterium. RNAcentral's name for it is "partial 16S ribosomal RNA". It matches the Rfam family "Bacterial small subunit ribosomal RNA", at positions 28 to 507 of the family's 1533-position model. The record is from RNAcentral.